Long non-coding RNA from Struthio camelus australis, 1498 nucleotides. RefSeq lists it as uncharacterized. The record is from RefSeq and is a predicted model, not a curated record. NCBI's taxonomy places the organism in Eukaryota, Metazoa, Chordata, Aves, Struthioniformes, Struthionidae.
AUAAAUAUACAAAAUAGCUGCAUGUUCCUCAUGGAAAUUAAUUGUUGUUUUUGAGUGUUGAGAAAUGAAAUUCCAAGUCAGAUAUAUAGCUGUAAGUGCUAUUUUCAAUGCGGCAACGGAGCACUGACCGUGCAUUGUGAUAAAAGGGACAAUUCAAAGCUGGGCUGCAUCCUGCUGAUUGGUGUUCAAUGUACCAGUGUCCUGACCUCCUGUCCACAUUGGGAAACCCUUGGAGCUUGCUCUUCAGUAAAAUCCUCUGAAUUUAACUCCUUCCUGUGCCACCAGAUAUCAUUCUGACCAUGAGAAAUGUUCUGCCAUCUUUAACUGUCAUCUUAUGAGAUGGAACAGCCAAUUCAGUGUCUUUGUAUAAAUGGGCAAGAAGUUAUCUGCUUUCUUCCCCCUCAGGAUAGCCUCACAGAGAACGCAACAAGACAUGGAACCAUCUCCCAGUCUCCACUGCCAGCUUCUGUUUUAUGUGAUGUCCUUGGAUGCCCAAAAGAUUAGGCAUCCUGAUCCACCUGGCCCAUAUAACAGAGAUCAAAGACAUUUCUUCAUCUACAAACUUAAGCUCCUGUUCUAUGGAAAUGAAGAGGACAAAUUGGAGGUCAUAGUCUGUGCAAAUUAGUAGGGACAUCUGACUCUUGAAGGGGCAAAGUUGUGGACCAGUUCUCUCAAAUGGCAAUAUAUUAAGACCAACAAAAAAAGGUUUUCCCUCUGCUCUGGUAUUUUUCACACUUCAGCUUGGAUCAGCAGCCUGGACAUUUGGAUUGUUCUUGACCGCUCCAGUUUGCUGCAUCAAAUGCACUGUGGUGCUGUUCAGCAUCCAGGAGAACUUAUUACUUCUGCUAUAAAGAAUGUGGACAUAAAGACCAGCCUUCAUAUUUUUGUCCUUGAACUAUUUUCUGCCUCAGAAAAAAGCUAUGUACUAUUGAAUAAGGUCCUAGAACAUAAUUUAGAAGCACGAGCAGGAGAAAAAAAUCUCCCUGAAUUGGGGGGAAAGACAUGCUUCUUGAACAUUAUUAAUUUGAAUCAUGGAGAUAUAUAGGAGCAGAUAUUUAUAGGAUGCAGUUGAUGUGUGACUUAGUACCAAAUAGAAAUUCUUCAGAAAGUCAGCUCCAUCUUUGCCAAGUCAUCACGACUCUCUUAGUAGGCCAUAUUUUAUAGGGAAUUACUCGGCACGUGUAUGAGCUUUCCCAGUCCUAAACUCUUUUAAGCUGCAUAUUUCUUCUGCAGUGAAAGGUGGAGACAGUGUAGUCCAUGAGCUGCCUAGAAGGCAUUAAAACAACAUUCCUCAUUUUUGGAGGACUGUAUGGUGGCAUGCAGAAAUCUAAUGUUCCAUGGAAUUCAUGUUUUUCCAUUUUCUUGAGCAAAUAAUUCUGUGUAUGCAGAUAUAUGAACUUGCAGUCUUGAAUUCACAGUACUGCAAGUCACAAUCUAUUUUAUCUACUAGCCUUUCUGUCUUAAAUGAAGAAAAGCUAUAUAUUAUUAACAUCUUGAA